GCUGGCAGCUAGCUCUCUGCAACUCUCACAUGGUCACCAACAGAAGCUAAGCAGGGCUGCACCCGGUCAGUACCUUGAUGGGAGACCAGAUGGGAAAGCUAGGUUGCUGCCAGAU
Molecule: ribosomal RNA, 115 nt
Filed under: Danio rerio (zebrafish)
Lineage: Eukaryota; Metazoa; Chordata; Actinopteri; Cypriniformes; Danionidae
Source: RNAcentral